Long non-coding RNA from Magnolia sinica, 1480 nucleotides. RefSeq lists it as uncharacterized. The record is from RefSeq and is a predicted model, not a curated record. The transcript is spliced from 6 exons. NCBI's taxonomy places the organism in Eukaryota, Viridiplantae, Streptophyta, Magnoliopsida, Magnoliales, Magnoliaceae.
CCCCUUCUCUUCCUCCCUCUCUCUCUCCCUUCCCUAAUCCUCUCACUCUCUCUUCCCCAAUCCUCUCUCUCUCUCUCUCUCUCUCUCUCUCUCUCUCUCUCUCUCCGUGGCCAUAUCUCCAAAUUUGUUUAAAGCGGCGGCAGGGAAGACGAACGGUAGUUCUUCUGUCCUGUCUCCCGCCUGUCGGAUCCCUCACUCUCCUCUCCGAUUCUUGGGAUUUCCACACCAAUCGAAUCCUCCCUAUAUGGUAAGCGCUCAGCUUCAGCUACACCGUUAUGCAACCGGCCGUGAAUCAAGGGUCAUUACUGCUCUUACCUUUUUGAAAUCUCAUCUUUUUACUUACCAAGGUUAUGUUAGUGCUGCUUUGGUGCUUGGCGGUGUUAAUUUUACUGGACCGCAUUUGCACUAUAUACCCUCACGGUUCAACUGACACACUGCCAUUUGCAACCAUAGGUUCUGGUUCUCUUGCUACGAUGGCCAUCUUUGAGUCAAAAUAUAGAGAGGGCCUGACUAUAAGUUUGCUUGCUAGAUUUGCAUUUUUCUCCUCAGUCAAUGUUUUGCAUCAUCAUUGUUAUGUUGUCAUUGAGAAAGAACAUAGAAGGCUGUGCCAAAGAGGUAGGGCUUGCAUGGAUGCUUUUCCAGAAUAGAGCAGCUUGUAGCUGCUGAGAUCCUUUUAAGAAAGAGUGACACAUCCUCAUGAACCAAGCUAGCCUUUCGAGAAGGAUAGCAAACAGGAGUCUCAGACUAAAUUAGACCAUUUAACAUGAUUUCAUGAGAGACGAAGGAAUAAAGCUUGUGUCUGAGGCGAUUUGCUCUGGAAUUUUCAAUGACUUGGGAAGUGGUAGCAAUGUUGACGUCUGCGUAAUAACCAAGGUCUGUACUUGAUGAAACAUUAUAUUGUUAUUGGUGUUUCCAUGGACCUUUAGUUAUUCUUGUCAAAUCUUGAUGUACAAGGCCGCACUGAGUACUUGAGGUAACCACCAGUUGCCAAAUCCUUGAAACUAUGUCAGUUCAAGGGGCUAUUCCUUUACUAAGGGACAGACUGGUUAAAGUUAUGAAGGAGAGUGCAGCACCUAGAGCAGUGUAUGUACCCACUGCCACUCUCCGAAUGGCACCUGCAAGCAUAGAGCAGCAAUCGCUUGCGCCAGCAGCCCCACAUUCAGCACUUGAGACCCCAACUCCUAGUGACAGAAAUGCCCCUGAAAGCAGCAAUAUUCACAAGGAAGGUGACUUUGUUUUUCAUUUUGUUACUGACCAAUCAGCCCACGAGCAAUGCUGAAUUCAGCUUAGGUACGAUCAUAUAUGUGUGUGUCAUGUGGUUUACUUAAUAUCUACUUCACUCACUUGUCACUAUACUAGUCACCUCGCCUCUUCUUCUCCUUCUUUCUAAACUGAACAUGGGCAAAUUCAGUUUGCAGCAAUGGUGAAAGCAAUUAGGAUUUGAAGCUUGGAUUAGUUCAUGAAAAUCCUCUUCAUCAAA